AAGAGAUUCAGAAAAGGGUACUAUAGUUAAUGAAUUAAGCUCAGUUCAUGAAGGAAAAUAACAUGGUUCCAUUGCAAACUCAUCAUUGUCCCAUUCCAGAGAAUGAGAGAGAGGAAAUUGACCAACUCCCAAUUUGCAAGCUUUCAAGUUCCCACUAGCAAAAAGCUGCAUUUACAGAUCUAUCAUUGAAGCAAAAUUCCCUCCAUUAUCUUCCCCACAGAAACCAACCCUCUCUUUUUAACUCUUUCAGCCAAAAACAUCGUCUUCAUGUAAACCCCACAGUUACAAAAGAGAAGGAAAAAAAAAAGACCUCUAUAAGGAUCUAAGAAAAUCUAUGUACCAGCAACCAAAAGACAAAAAAAGAAAGAUUAAUUAAGACAAAGAGACAAUUACAAAAAGGCUAAAUAUGGCAGCCGCAACAUAGAUAGAAGAAGCACAAGGUAGCCACCAAGACAAUAGCCUCAAAAACAGACACAAUCUUGAAAAGCACAUCAUCAACAAAAGACAGCUGAAAGUGUUUUCUUUUCCACUUGAAAGCAGAGCCCAAGAACCUCCAUCUCCAUCUCCAAGACUCCUUGACCUUCAGCUUCCUAAAAAGCCACAUCUUCAUCUUCCUCCUGCUGCUGAUGUUGCUGCUGCCGCUCUUUUCCACGUCCUCUUGCAUAUUUUUAUCAAGCAUUCACUCACAAGAAUUCUCUGCAAAACAAAGACUCGCUUGCUUCUGGUGUCUAGAGGAAGAACACAGGGUUUGGUAGUUAUAUGGGGGAGGGAAGGUUCGGUUUUUUUUUCUUAAUAAAAACGAAGGCAAGAGAGGAGUGGGAUUUGUUGGGCUUAUUGAUGGUGUUUCGGUAAUUUAAUUAUACAGAAAGCUGAAAGCGU
Molecule: unclassified non-coding RNA, 879 nt
Filed under: Hevea brasiliensis (rubber tree)
Lineage: Eukaryota; Viridiplantae; Streptophyta; Magnoliopsida; Malpighiales; Euphorbiaceae
Source: RNAcentral